AGCAAUCUGAUUCCUUCCUUGUUCCAGUGACCCAGCCCCUCUCUCCUUUUCUUUCCUUCACAAUUCAGAACCUUGCACUACCCUCAACCAAAAAAAAACCUAGCCAUCUAGCCUCCACCACUGCCACCGCAAGGAGUGGGACACUGCAGCCAUCCAUCGCACUCAGGAGCUUCCCUCUUCGUCCUGUCGGCAUGCUCCAAAGCUCCAACCCCUGUUCACUCUCACCGAUCACAGCUUCUUCCUCGAGGUUUUGGAGUUAUCAUGUGCUCUGGCAAUUAUGUAAUUUGAUGAUUGCCUAUUACUGCUACUUUGAAUGUUCAUUCAGCGUGUGGCAAUGAAGCAGAACCCAAGUCACAGCAAAGAAGGUGGAGGCACGUCAAAGCACACUGCAGGGACAGACGAGUCACGAGGCGGGGCAAUGAAGGCGACAGACGGAGGUGAGCAGAGCAGCACACACGGA
This is a long non-coding RNA of Arachis duranensis, 460 nucleotides long. RefSeq lists it as uncharacterized. The record is from RefSeq and is a predicted model, not a curated record. NCBI's taxonomy places the organism in Eukaryota, Viridiplantae, Streptophyta, Magnoliopsida, Fabales, Fabaceae. The transcript is spliced from 3 exons.